AGUGAACGCUGGCGGUAGGCCUAACACAUGCAAGUCGAACGGCAGCACAGUAAGAGCUUGCUCUUACGGGUGGCGAGUGGCGAACGGGUGAGGAAUACAUCGGAAUCUACUUUUUCGUGGGGGAUAACGUAGGGAAACUUACGCUAAUACCGCAUACGACCUACGGGUGAAAGCAGGGGAUCUUAGGACCUUGCGCGAUUGAAUGAGCCGAUGUCGGAUUAGCUAGUUGGCGGGGUAAAGGCCCACCAAGGCGACGAUCCGUAGCUGGUCUGAGAGGAUGAUCAGCCACACUGGAACUGAGACACGGUCCAGACUCCUACGGGAGGCAGCAGUGGGGAAUAUUGGACAAUGGGCGCAAGCCUGAUCCAGCCAUACCGCGUGGGUGAAGAAGGCCUGCGGGUUGUAAAGCCCUUUUGUUGGGAAAGAAAAGCAGCAGGUUAAUACCCCGCUGUUCUGACGGUACCCAAAGAAUAAGCACCGGCUAACUUCGUG
Molecule: ribosomal RNA, 492 nt
Filed under: uncultured bacterium
Lineage: Bacteria
Description: partial 16S ribosomal RNA
Rfam family: Bacterial small subunit ribosomal RNA
Source: RNAcentral